RNAcentral lists this ribosomal RNA (441 nucleotides) under uncultured bacterium. Its description in RNAcentral is "partial 16S ribosomal RNA". It matches the Rfam family "Bacterial small subunit ribosomal RNA", at positions 338 to 795 of the family's 1533-position model. The record is from RNAcentral.
CCUACGGGAGGCAGCAGUGGGGGAUAUUGCACAAUGGGGGAAACCCUGAUGCAGCGACGCCGCGUGGGUGAAGAAGUAUUUCGGUAUGUAAAGCCCUAUCAGCAGGGAAGAAAGAAGACGGUACCUGACUAAGAAGCCCCGGCUAACUACGUGCCAGCAGCCGCGGUAAUACGUAGGGGGCGAGCGUUAUCCGGAUUCACUGGGUGUAAAGGGAGCGUAGACGGCCGUGCAAGCCAGGAGUGAAAGCCCGGGGCCCAACCCCGGGACUGCUCUUGGAACUGGGCGGCUGGAGUGCGGGAGGGGCAGGCGGAAUUCCUGGUGUAGCGGUGAAAUGCGUAGAUAUCAGGAGGAACACCGGCGGCGAAGGCGGCCUGCUGGACCGCGACUGACGUUGAGGCUCGAAAGCGUGGGGAGCGAACAGGAUUAGAUACCCGGGUAGUC